RNAcentral lists this ribosomal RNA (253 nucleotides) under uncultured prokaryote. RNAcentral's name for it is "partial 16S ribosomal RNA". It matches the Rfam family "Bacterial small subunit ribosomal RNA", at positions 525 to 777 of the family's 1533-position model. The record is from RNAcentral.
ACAGAGGUUGCAAACGUUGUUCGGAAUCACUGGGCAUAAAGCGCACGUAGGCGGCUUUGUAAGUUAGAGGUGAAAGCCCAGGGCUCAACCCUGGAAUUGCCUUUAAGACUGCAUCGCUUGAACAUCGGAGAGGUAAGUGGAAUUCCGAGUGUAGAGGUGAAAUUCGUAGAUAUUCGGAAGAACACCAGUGGCGAUGGCGACUAACUGGACAUGUAUUGACGCUGAGGUGCGAAAGCGUGGGGAGCAAACAGGA